Hyaena hyaena (striped hyena) is the source of this 816-nucleotide long non-coding RNA. RefSeq lists it as uncharacterized. The transcript is spliced from 4 exons. NCBI's taxonomy places the organism in Eukaryota, Metazoa, Chordata, Mammalia, Carnivora, Hyaenidae. The record is from RefSeq and is a predicted model, not a curated record.
GUAAAAAGCCUGGAUUAGCUAUCCUGGUCGCUCGCCCCUAGGACACGCAGCCAACAGUGAACACUGGCAGGGCAGUAACCUGAACCAAGGCUUUCUGGGAAGCCAAUCUGUGCCGCAGCAGGAAGAAAAGAAGUGGCAACAAAUCUGGGAUCAUCACAGGCAGCCUGUGGCUGGCCACUGACCGCGGGAGCCUGCAUCACCCAGAACAUUAGGCCCUUCCUGUCUAGCUGAAGCCAAGCCAACCCAGCUUCAGGCAGCCUCUGUGUCCCUCUGGAUGACGUAAGGAGGAUUUUCAAGCAGAAAAUACAAGGCAAUUGACACCUGCUUCCGAUACCUACAUACCAUCCAGCUUCCAGAUCAGGUAGUACCCGGCUGUUGUGGGAAAACAAGACAAGGUCCUGGUGUGCUCCCCAGAAAGGUUUAAAGCUCAGAGCAAAUGCAAGGGAUUGUCAGCAAAAGUCUCAUUAAUGAAGUUGGAAAACCAAAGUGACCAUGGUCUUGGUGAUUCGUGCUGAUAUGCAGAGGAGAGUUUGGCUGGCUUUGGCUGUGCUGCAGCAAAGAAGAAAUAUCCCAAAUGUGACUGGGAAGAGAAGACCUAGGACUGGCCGGAAGCUGGGGUGAGAGAGGAAGAGCCACAGCACCGAUGUUAAAGAAUUGACGAAUGAAUAGCUUUCCAGUGCUGUCUGGUUGUGUCACCCCCACUUUGCAUUUUUCAGGCUCAGUCAUUUCAAGAAGAGUGAGGAAUUGAUGGGAGUUGGGCGGGGGGAAUGAAAAAAAUCCCCAACAACAUCCCAGCAUCCCACAGCUGAGUCCUUU